Molecule: unclassified non-coding RNA, 3264 nt
Filed under: Ixodes scapularis (black-legged tick)
Lineage: Eukaryota; Metazoa; Arthropoda; Arachnida; Ixodida; Ixodidae
Description: f-box DNA helicase 1, transcript variant X1
Source: RNAcentral
UGCCGCUAGGGGCGUCCUGGUCGGGGCUUGAAUUAGAUGCGCACGGUUCCUAUGGCAGCGAAGAAGCGGUCCUUUAGAUAAGAUAACUUUUGUGUCCUUCCAAAGUUAGACAUAUCUGAAUAUUAAUUUAAGAAGCGGCACCUAUUUAAAGUAUAUAAGUAGAAAAAAUUGGUCUUUCAUUUUUUUAUGAAGGAAUAUAAGGCGGCGAUCGUUAUGACUUUUGAGCAAACAACAUUGUGUUAACGUUUUCUUUUUUUCAUUUUCAAUUCGGUUUCUUUUCCUGUGGUGUUGUGGCUGCUUUGGCGGUUUGGACAAAUUAAGGAGUUUUGAUAUUGGAUGCAGUUUGGACACUUUACAACACAGUACCAGAAGGUAACUCGCUCGAAAUAUCGCCAAGAUCAUUUUGCGACUUGAGCCUUAUGGCUGUAGUCGCUGGCGUGAUAAGCUAUAAGCUUGACAACUACCUUCAGGUUCAGCGCAUGUAAUCAAUACAAUUAACGUGCGAUCGUGUACAAUGAGGACUAAUAACAUUGACAUACGGUUAUCUGCCGGCGUUAGUGAGGCUUCGCGCUUUUUAACAAUGCCAACCGAUCGUUCGUUUAGUGGAUGAUUGAUGUUAAAUCGCUUGCAGUGCACCGUUUUCCCGAUCUUCACGGUUCCGUUUUGCUCUUGGUUUUGGCGUAUAACAAAACCAUAGACGCUUCGAGUGGAAUGUUGAACAAGCGGAAGGCUCGUUUAGACUACGCCGACUGCCAGAGGCUGGCCGGAUCUCGCGAGGGCAUCGCGUCGUUAGCCACGCCGUCCGUCGUCAAGAGAUCGUCGAGGGAUCCUCACCGGGGUCUCUACCCAGCUCAGAGGCCUAGGAUGAGCCGCAGCGCAGCGAACUCAUCGAAGAGCGGCACCUCCGACACCCCAGCCCCCGGCCAGGACAUGUCUUUGAGGUACCCCAGCUUUCAGUCGGCGCAUGCACUGUUGUUGGCCAGCUGCGCCGGCAGCAGCGACAGGAGGAGCUCUGCCACGAACCGCCCAGAGAACGGCAGGACACCCGAAGGCUCUCCGGGGAAGCGCAAGAGGGCCAAGACGAUGCCCCAGAACAACAAGAUCACGCGUUACUUCGAAACGUCUCCUAAGAAGCUUGGCGCCCAGUUUGACGAGGAGCAUCGCUGUCCUCAAGCUGCUGGGCCUUCGUCGCUUUCUUUCGUCGGUUCUAUCAAAGAAGACUCCAAGUGGCAGUACCCUCUGGAGGGGGACUCUGAUGACUCCGACGACUCCGUGGUGAUCACUGAAGUGUUUGGACUCCUGUGCCCGGAGGUGGUUCCCGAGACAGAGCUGAGCAAUCCUUUUGACCGGCUUCCCACCGAAGUGCUGGAGGCUGUCUUUGCCAACAUAAGCCUCCAGGAGCUCUUGUUGACCUGCAACCGUGUCUGCCGCAGAUGGCUCCAAGUCAUCGGCGAUCCAACGUUCCUGCAGCACCGGAAACGCUACUACAAGUUCAAAGCGGGCAACUGCAGGUCUGUCGUGUGCGAGGUCCAGUGCAUCUGCGAGUCAGAGAAGAUGUGCUCCACCAGGAGCUGUCUUCCUGGACUCAUUAGGUACAUGUUGAAGUUUAGAAAAGAAGCAAAGGGCCUUGAAGCUGUCCUGAGGAAUCAUGAAAAAUAUGAGAUAGCCACGGAAGUGCUGCAAGGAGGCUUUCGGGACUGCUUUUCUGGCAAGUUUGUACACCCGUGGUGCAUUGUGGCAGCACUCGUGGUGGUUUCGGAGAGCGUCCAGGACAUCUUUCAGCUAUUUCACCCGUCGCUCGACAAUCUGGCCCUCAGCGAGGCGUUGUACUGCAUUGCCACCUUCCUUCUGCACUUCCAGAAGAACUACAACAUCAAUCAUGGGUACCACUACAGGACCUACUACGCACUUCACCUGUACGAGAACAUGUGGUCGGGCACUCUCAAGGACUUGACUGCCGUCCAACAGUCACAUAAGGGACAGCAGAACAUUCUCAAGUUUGGGACAUCUAGUCAACGCGUCAAAUACACUCACGAGCAGAUGAGGGUCAUCAACCACGAGCUGAGUCCCAACGACAUUGUCCGCAUCAUUGCAUUUGCAGGAACAGGCAAAACGUCCACCCUGGUCGAGUAUGCGCGCUUGCGGCCAUCCAAGAAGUUCCUCUGCAUCGUCUAUAACAAGUCUGUGAGCGAAAUAGGGAAGAGGACGUUCUCUUCUAACGUGGAGUGCCGGACUGCUCACUCGCUGGCCUUCAGGUCUACUGGCUUCCGGUACCGUGACAAGAUGACCUCGAAAGUACGCGUGCUGGACGUGUCACGGCUGGUGUCGAUGCCCCCGGGCCUGUCCCUGAACAAGCAGCGCUUCUCCAAGCUGGUGAUCCAGAGUGUAGAGCACUUCCUUUCCUCGGCCGACGAGCUGCUCACCACAGCCCACGUGCCCCAGAAGGUGAUGGACUUGGAGAACAACAUGCCCAUCCAGCUCACCUCUGCCCAGAGACUGGCCGUGGCAGACGAAGCGGCCAGCUUCUGGGAGAAGAUGGCCGACCCCAACAACAAGGAGGUGCGCAUGACCCACGACGGGUACCUCAAGCUUUUCCAGCUACAGAAGCCCAGGCUGGGAGUCUACGACUGCAUCUUCGUGGAUGAAGCCCAGGACUGCAACCCAGCCAUGCUGGAUUUCAUCCUGGCCCAGAGCUGUCCAAAGAUCUUGGUAGGAGACCCCAACCAGCAGAUUUACGCCUUCCGGAGAGCCAUCGACGCACUGUCCUCUGUGCCGGGGACCCAUACAUUCUACCUCACUAAGUCUUUCAGAUUUGGCCCAGAGAUUGGAUACAUAGCUUCAUGUGCCUUGGAAACCCUCAAAGGCAUCAGCAACAAGACCAUAGUGGGCAGUGCAGAACCAGGGAAGGUGGACGGCAGCAUUUCGGGUCAGGUGGCGGUCAUCGCCAGGUCCAACUUGACCCUCUUUAAUCAGGCCGUGGAGAUUGUCUGCAACGAGCAAUACAGGAGGAUGGGACUGUCUCAUGUCAACGGUGCCUUCAUUGGGACAUUGUCUUCACCACAGCCCACAAGGCCAAGGGUCUUGAGUUCGACACGGUGAUGCUGGCAGACGACUUCUUUGUUGGGAAUUGCUCACUGGGAAACCACAAGGUGUCCCUGAAUGCGGAGACCAUCCAGGAGUACAACGUGCUCUAUGUGGCCAUGACAAGAGCUAAGAAGAGGCUGUGUAUGUCACGGGCAAUCUACUUCCUACUUCUACAGGCAC